ACGCACGCUGGCGGCGCGCCUCACCCCUGCCAGUCGAACGGAGCUGAGAGAAGCUUGCUUUUCUUAGCUUAGUGGCGAACGGGUGAGUAACGCGUGAGUAACCUGCCCUGGAGUGGGGGACAACAGUUGGAAACGACUGCUAAUACCUCAUAAGCCCACGAUCCGGCAUCGGAUUGAGGGAAAAGGAUUUAUUCGCUUCAGGAUGGACUCGCGUCCAAUUAGCUAGUUGGUGAGGUAACGGCCCACCAAGGCGACGAUUGGUAGCCGGACUGAGAGGUUGAACGGCCACAGUGGGACUGAGACACGGCCCAGACUCCUACGGGAGGCAGCAGUGGGGGAUAUUGCACAAUGGGGGAAACCCUGAUGCAGCGACGCCGCGUGGAGGAAGAAGGUGUUCGGAUUGUAAACUCCUGUCGUGAGGGACGAUAAUGACGGUACCUAACAAGAAAGCACCGGCUAACUACGUG
This 467-nucleotide ribosomal RNA is filed under the name uncultured bacterium. Its description in RNAcentral is "partial 16S ribosomal RNA". It matches the Rfam family "Bacterial small subunit ribosomal RNA", at positions 29 to 507 of the family's 1533-position model. The record is from RNAcentral.